UGAGACCUGAUGCCGAGCCGAUUGUGGUGAAGUGGAUGAUCCUAUGCUGUCGAGAAAAGCCUCUAGCGAGUUUCAUGGCGGCCCGUACCCUAAACCGACUCAGGUGGUCAGGUAGAGAAUACCGAGGCGUUCGGGUGAACUAUGGUUAAGGAACUCGGCAAAAUGCCCCCGUAACUUCGGGAGAAGGGGGGCCAUCACUGGUGAUGAGUCUUGCACUCUGAGCUGGGGGUGGCCGCAGAGACCAGCGAGAAGCGACUGUUUACUAAAAACACAGGUCCGUGCGAAGCCGUAAGGCGAUGUAUACGGACUGACGCCUGCCCGGUGCUGGAACGUUAAGGGGACCGGUUAGU
This 350-nucleotide non-coding RNA is filed under the name Streptomyces sp. NRRL S-1521. RNAcentral's name for it is "Bacterial large subunit ribosomal RNA". It matches the Rfam family "Bacterial large subunit ribosomal RNA", at positions 1557 to 1894 of the family's 2925-position model. Lineage: Bacteria; Bacillati; Actinomycetota; Actinomycetes; Kitasatosporales; Streptomycetaceae. The record is from Rfam by way of RNAcentral.